UGGGGAAUAUUGCACAAUGGGCGCAAGCCUGAUGCAGCCAUGCCGCGUGUAUGAAGAAGGCCUUCGGGUUGUAAAGUACUUUCAGUCGGGAGGAAGGUGGUAAGGUUAAUAACCUUAUCAAUUGACGUUACCGACAGAAGAAGCACCGGCUAACUCCGUGCCAGCAGCCGCGGUAAUACGGAGGGUGCAAGCGUUAAUCGGAAUUACUGGGCGUAAAGCGCACGCAGGCGGUUGAUUGAGUCAGAUGUGAAAUCCCCGGGCUUAACCCGGGAAUUGCAUCUGAUACUGGCAAGCUUGAGUCUCGUAGAGGGGGGUAGAAUUCCAGGUGUAGCGGUGAAAUGCGUGGAGAUCUGGAGGAAUACCGGUGGCGAAGGCGGCCCCCUGGACGAAGACUGACGCUCAGGUGCGAAAGCGUGGGGAGCAAACAGG
This 429-nucleotide ribosomal RNA is filed under the name Chloroflexota bacterium. Its description in RNAcentral is "Chloroflexi bacterium partial 16S ribosomal RNA". It matches the Rfam family "Bacterial small subunit ribosomal RNA", at positions 355 to 776 of the family's 1533-position model. The record is from RNAcentral. Lineage: Bacteria; Bacillati; Chloroflexota.